Molecule: unclassified non-coding RNA, 346 nt
Filed under: soil metagenome
Description: partial contains 5.8S ribosomal RNA, internal transcribed spacer 2, and large subunit ribosomal RNA
Rfam family: 5.8S ribosomal RNA (bases 1-120)
Source: RNAcentral
GAUGAAGAACGUAGCGAAAUGCGAUAAGUAAUGUGAAUUGCAGAAUUCAGUGAAUCAUCGAAUCUUUGAACGCACAUUGCGCCCGCUGGUAUUCCGGCGGGCAUGUCUGUUCGAGCGUCAUUUCAACCCUCAAACCCCCGGGUUUGGUGUUGGGGAUCGGCUCUGCCUCACGGCGGUGCCGCCCCCGAAAUACAUUGGCGGUCUCGCUGCAGCCUCCAUUGCGUAGUAGCUAACACCUCGCAACUGGAACGCGGCGCGGCCAUGCCGUAAAACCCCAACUUCUGAAUGUUGACCUCGGAUCAGGUAGGAAUACCCGCUGAACUUAAGCAUAUCAAUAAGCGGAGGA